GGCCCUGUAGCUCAGUGGUCAGAGCAGGCGACUCAUAAUCGCUUGGUCGCGGGUUCGAGCCCCGCCGGGGCUA
Molecule: transfer RNA, 73 nt
Filed under: Akkermansia sp.
Lineage: Bacteria; Pseudomonadati; Verrucomicrobiota; Verrucomicrobiia; Verrucomicrobiales; Akkermansiaceae
Also listed under: 1 other name
Description: tRNA-Ile
Rfam family: tRNA
About the family: Transfer RNA (tRNA) molecules are approximately 80 nucleotides in length. Their secondary structure includes four short double-helical elements and three loops (D, anti-codon, and T loops).
Source: RNAcentral